This 245-nucleotide ribosomal RNA is filed under the name Picochlorum sp. RCC944. RNAcentral describes it as "partial Eukaryotic small subunit ribosomal RNA". It matches the Rfam family "Eukaryotic small subunit ribosomal RNA", at positions 328 to 568 of the family's 1831-position model. Lineage: Eukaryota; Viridiplantae; Chlorophyta; Trebouxiophyceae. The record is from RNAcentral.
GUAGGAUAGAGGCCUACCAUGGUUUCAACGGGUAACGGGGAAUAAGGGUUCGAUUCCGGAGAGAGGGCCUGAGAAACGGCCCUCAGGUCUAAGGACACGCAGCAGGCGCGCAAAUUAUCCCCUGGCAACACUUUGCCGAGAUAGUGACAAUAAAUAACAAUGCAGGGCUCUUACGGGUCUUGCAAUUGGAAUGAGUACAAUUUAAAUCCCUUAACGAGGAACAAUUGGAGGGCAAGUCUGGUGCC